GAUGAACGCUGGCGGCGUGCCUAAUACAUGCAAGUCGAGCGAACGGACGAGAAGCUUGCUUUUCUGAUGUUAGCGGCGGACGGGUGAGUAACACGUGGAUAACCUACCUAUAAGACUGGGAUAACUUCGGGAAACCGGAGCUAAUACCGGAUAAUAUUGAACCGCAUGGUUCACAAGUGAAAGACGGUCUUGCUGUCACUUAUAGAUGGAUCCGCGCUGCAUUAGCUAGUUGGUAAGGUAACGGCUUACCAAGGCAACGAUGCAUAGCCGACCUGAGAGGGUGAUCGGCCACACGGGAACUGAGACACGGUCCAGACUCCCACGGGAGGCAGCAGUAGGGAAUCUUCCGCAAUGGGCGAAAGCCUGACGGAGCAACGCCGCGUGAGUGAUGAAGGUCUUCGGAUCGUAAAACUCUGUUAUUAGGGAAGAACAUAUGUGUAAGUAACUGUGCACAUCUUGACGGUACCUAAUCAGAAAGCCACGGCUAACUACGUG
Molecule: ribosomal RNA, 495 nt
Filed under: uncultured bacterium
Lineage: Bacteria
Description: partial 16S ribosomal RNA
Rfam family: Bacterial small subunit ribosomal RNA
Source: RNAcentral